Molecule: microRNA, 19 nt
Filed under: Culex quinquefasciatus (southern house mosquito)
Lineage: Eukaryota; Metazoa; Arthropoda; Insecta; Diptera; Culicidae
Description: cqu-miR-92
Gene: cqu-miR-92
Source: miRBase by way of RNAcentral
AUUGCACUUGUCCCGGCCU